GUGAUGGAAACGCUCACUUUGGUAUCACAUAUAUUAAAAUUGGAAUGAUACAGAGAUUAGCAUGGCCCUUGCGCAAGGAUGACAUGACAAUUCAUGAAGUGUUCCAUAUUAUU
This is a small nuclear RNA of Cercocebus atys (sooty mangabey), 113 nucleotides long. The record is from Ensembl. NCBI's taxonomy places the organism in Eukaryota, Metazoa, Chordata, Mammalia, Primates, Cercopithecidae.